UGAUGACCAUAGCGAGGUGGUCCCACUCCUUCCCAUCCCGAACAGGACAGUGAAACACCUCAGCGCCGAUGAUAGUGCGCAUUCGCGUGUGAAAGUAGGACAUCGUCAGGCA
Molecule: ribosomal RNA, 112 nt
Filed under: Thiomonas delicata
Lineage: Bacteria; Pseudomonadati; Pseudomonadota; Betaproteobacteria; Burkholderiales
Also listed under: 1 other name
Source: RNAcentral